This 98-nucleotide microRNA precursor is filed under the name Loxodonta africana (African savanna elephant). RNAcentral's name for it is "mir-544 microRNA precursor family". Lineage: Eukaryota; Metazoa; Chordata; Mammalia; Proboscidea; Elephantidae. The record is from Rfam by way of RNAcentral.
GUCACCCAGGGCUCUUGUUCAAAUGCAGAUUCCAACUCAGGGGGUCUGGGGUGGAGCUUGGGAUUCAGCAUUUCUAACAGGUUCCCAGGUGAUGCUGA